This is an RNA transcript of Strigops habroptila (Kakapo), 2402 nucleotides long. It is a transcript of the gene named G protein-coupled receptor 157, with no coding region annotated. The transcript is spliced from 4 exons. The record is from RefSeq and is a predicted model, not a curated record. NCBI's taxonomy places the organism in Eukaryota, Metazoa, Chordata, Aves, Psittaciformes, Psittacidae.
GUCCCGGCGCAGCGCGGUGCUGCCGCCGCUCCUUCCUCCUCCUCCUGGCCCUGCCCGGCUCUCCCCGCGCCCUGCCCCCGGCAUGCCCUCGCCGCUGCCCCCCACCGAGCUGUACGCCUCGGAGCGGGUGGUCGUGCUGGUGUCCUGCGGGCUGUCCUUCCUGGGCUCCAGCCUCCUGGUGUGCACCCAUGCGCUCUGGCCCGAGCUGCGGACGCGGCCCCGCCAGCUCCUGCUCUACCUGUCGCUGGCGGAUCUCCUCUCGGCUCUCUCGUACUUCUAUGGGGUGCUACAGGACUUCGACAAGACCUCGUGGGACUGCGUGCUCCAGGGUGCCCUGUCCACCUUCUCCAACACCAGCUCCUUCUUCUGGACCAUGGCCAUUGCUCUCUACCUCUACAUCACCAUUGUGAGGGGCUCGCCCACCGGCACAGGCUUAGUCUGCUGCUUCCAUGUCAUGAGCUGGGGAAUCCCCCUUGGCAUCACAGUGGCGGCUGUUGCUCUGAAGAAGAUUGGUUAUGAUGCCUCUAAUGUUUCUGUGGGCUGGUGCUGGGUCAACUUGGAUGCAGAGGAUCGAGUCUUGUGGAUGUUGCUAACAGGGAAAGUGUGGGAGAUACUGGCCUAUGUGACUUUGCCUGUGCUCUACCUCCUCAUCAAGAAGCACAUUAACAGAGCGCACGCAGCUCUCUCAGAGUAUCGCCCCAUUCUCUCAAGAGCACCUGCAUUUCAGCCCCAGACUUCCAUAGCAGAUAAGAAGUUGAUUCUCAUCCCUGUCAUCUUUAUCAUCCUCCGCAUCUGGAGCACUGUGCGAUUCAUUCUGACCCUCUGUAACUCCCCUGCAGUGCAAAAUUCAGUCCUGGUUGUCCUGCAUGUAAGUAUUUGCCAGGAAAUGCAUUGGAAGGAGGAUCUGGGAGGGAGAUAAGGCUUUGUUGCUCUUAAUAUCGUUUUUUAGAGGCAGGAUGCAGCACGUACUGGCUGAUGCUGUUGGCAAGCGCUGGUCGGGAUGCUCAGCAACAGCUAUUUCAGCAGCAUCUAGUGGCUACAGACAGUAACUGCAGUAGGAGUGUUGGGCAAUGCUUGUAGGAAAACAUAUCAGACCAGAUAUGUUGGGUGUCCGCCCUUCAGCAGGGGCUGUAGAACCCCCCAGCACCCAGCUGGUCUGCUUUUGGGUGCAAAGUUGAUCUUUCUGAACCCAUUCUUCUCACUUAGGUGGAAGUUGCUGUCAGUUGGGCAGUGCUGUAGCUGGUCUGACACCAGGAACAGCGCUGGUUAAUUCCCUUCUUGCCCUUGCAGGGAAUUGGUAACACAUUCCAAGGAGGUGCCAAUUGCAUCAUGUUUGUCCUCUGCACACGGGUGAUCCGGACUCGGCUCUUUUCCUACAUUUGCUGUUGCCACUAUGAUGAGUUGGAUUGGCCUUUGCGACGAUCAAGCAGCAACUGGCAGUGCUCAGAGCCCCCCAAGAACAACGAUGUGUCAGGCCCUGAGCAGACCAAACCCCUGCUCUCCAGCACCUGAGCCUGGGCUGCCUGCAUCUCGGUGCUGAUUUCUUCUUUCUUGGUAAAAACAUAGUGUGCAGGAUCAUCCCAGAGUCCCACAGAGGGAGCUCAAGCCUGGGGAGAAGCACGGCCGGAGUGACUGAGCAACGGGAAGAGGUCCUGCUGCUCCUCGGCAUUCGGAUACCAGCUGCUUUGGUCUUGAAUUUUGCUCAGGGUCCUCUAGAAGAUACUGUUUGGCUCUACUCCAACCUCCUGGUUUUCCUCCCUCCUCCACUAUAAAUCUUACCAUUUGUUCGGGGUUUUGCUUUUCUGUCUGACAAGGCAAAUGUGCUGUGAGUUUUGGGGUGAACAAAUAUCAUGGUGACAGGAAAACUCUAGUAGCUGAUGAAUAGGACUGUCCUGGGCAUGGAUUUCAGUCCUAAUCCAUGAGGUCUUCCAGGGAGCUCCAGCCUGGCUCCUGUUCUUCACUUGAAUGUGGACAAUAGUGUGCAAACAUAUUUGUGUUGUGGUGGUGAUGGAUAGUUCCGCUCGAUGGUUUAUUCCUCUUCCUUGAUGAAUAGGGGUUGUCACCAUCAGGGUUUAUGGUGGCAGCAUGGUUAUCGACUCCAGAGGAAAUCUGAGUGCUGCAGCCUCCCUUGGUGCUCAGGGAUAUGUGGAUGUAUCACCCCAGCCUCCAGCAAGGACAGCCCUCACCAGUGGCUGGAUGGUACCUGGUGUGUAGCCUGUAUUAGCCAAAGCAGAGGCUACAGUCUGUUCUUGCUUUGGGAGUGAUAAAUCAGAGCUGGGGAGGGGAUGGGGAUCUGUUUGCUGUUUGGAGAUAGUGUUUUACCUUAUUUACAGCUCCUCACUUGCUUGUUUUUUAAAUAUUUUCUCCAACUUUUACAAAAUAAAGUUGUGUUUCUUUACCAA